Molecule: small nuclear RNA, 107 nt
Organism: Cavia aperea (Brazilian guinea pig)
Lineage: Eukaryota; Metazoa; Chordata; Mammalia; Rodentia; Caviidae
Source: Ensembl
GUGCUCACUUUAGUAGAACAUAUACUAAAAUUGGAAUGAUACAGAGAUGAUUAGCAUGGCCCCUGUGCAAGGAUGCCAUGCAAAUUCGUGAAGCAUUCCAUAUUUUA